Leguminivora glycinivorella is the source of this 1503-nucleotide RNA transcript. RefSeq lists it as uncharacterized. The record is from RefSeq and is a predicted model, not a curated record. The transcript has 6 exons. NCBI's taxonomy places the organism in Eukaryota, Metazoa, Arthropoda, Insecta, Lepidoptera, Tortricidae.
ACAAUGUUAAAUUUACUGUGAUAUUUUAGGAAUUAUCUAAAUUUUAAGUGUAAAUAAGAUUCAUAAAACUGAAAAAAUGGAAAUUUGUUGCUUAGAGGAAUGUGGUGCAAAUACAGUGCGGCCAAUGCUUGUUCCUCCGAGGGCUGACGAUGGGCCUGUAGCGUACUACCCUUGUCUUCCGGCGUGCACUAAGACGUAUUAUUGCUGUGAAAAACCAAAGUCGAAGCCGCGCGAGGAAAGUUCUCGUCGAGGCGAGUGCCGUCAUAGUCAACAAAAGAUCGAACGUCGACCCUGUUCGCCGCCCAACAAUCAUCAGGAUUGCUUCGUCAUUCGCUCGCCGUCACCUCGUCCGCCGUGUUGCGAGCCGCAAUGCAAACCGACCAAGACAAAGUAUAUUAUUCCAUGUUAUCGAUAUGAAGAUGGGCGUAUUGUAUAUCCCUUGCCAUCAUCGGCAUUGAAAAGGAAUGGCCUCCAAGAUCAAACCGUUGGAGAAAGUGGUGGCAUUGGAUACAUCAGGAAAUGUUGGCACAGUGCGUGGUUUGGUGACUAUCCCAAACCAAUUGCCAUUAGACCAAUGAAGAAACUCGCUGUUAAAAAAGCUAAAAAACAUUGAUGCUUUCGGUGUGUAGAGUGUGCGUGGAAGUCAUAAGCGGCAUCAAGAAAUACAUUCAGAGUGCGCAAGCUCCCCGUGUCUGCCUUCAAGCGUAACGGCAUGCAGGACCAGGAGCACGGGAAGGUCCAAGGCGCCACCAACUUCCUCCAACGCUGCCCGCGCGAUGUAGAACUCGAAUGCGAUGUCAGCCCUAAAGUCAAAGUGUGCGAUCCGGCUAAAGUACCCCUUUGCGACGGAAAAACCACUCUCUGCUGUCGUCUUCUGAAAAAACCUAUAAAAGUUGCACUUGAAGAUAUACUAGACGAUUGACUAUGUACGCUGCCUUUGUAUUUUCGUUUUGCUAUUGCGAAUCAACCCACCGUGCUGAUGCGGCGUGCAUGCGAGGUGGCAAUCGGCAAGCGUCCGCGUAAGAAGCCUUACGAAGAGCGCCGCUUCAUUCGUGACGCUGAUCACCAAGAGUCUCGAUACAUCAGAGAAGAUGAAGAGACAACACGGCGUCCUAAACCCGCAGUGCAAUCAAAUGGAAAAACGAAGAUUGCGAGGAUUCGCAAUAAAACCGCAAUAAACUAGGGCAUUGAGAAAUAACAAUAAAACAAAUUUAGAUUUAUUUUCGUGUAAUGAAGCGGACUGGUGUUACGAGUCGUGUCGUGAUGUGUCGUGUCGUGUCGUGAGUCGUGUGAGUCAGUGUGUCCAAUGCGAAGACGGCGGUGGGGGGGAGGGGAGGUGACUCGCGCGCACCAUGCAGCUGGCUCUGUCGCUGCUACUCCUGGCCGCAUGCGUGACUGCUUUCGCGCAGAUUGCGUGGACGCCCAUUUUUCUUGACGCCACCAGCCAAGUUGACCUAUGGACGCAAUCACCAAAGGGCUGCGCGUGCCCGUCGUGCGCGACGG